Molecule: unclassified non-coding RNA, 262 nt
Filed under: Agaricomycetes sp.
Lineage: Eukaryota; Fungi; Basidiomycota; Agaricomycetes
Description: partial contains 5.8S ribosomal RNA, internal transcribed spacer 2, and large subunit ribosomal RNA
Source: RNAcentral
CGCACCUUGCACUCUCUGGUAUUCCGGAGAGUAUGCCUGUUCGAGUGUCGUGAAGUUCUCAAGGUGCUACUUUGUUGUAGUCGCCUUGGAGUUGGAGCCUGUCGGCGAAAGUCGACUGCUCUGAAAUGCAUUAGCCAUUGCGAAAUCGGCUCGAGUGUAAUAAAUCUUUAUUCACGACGGUUGACGACUGCAGAGGCUUAUAGAACCCAACUACAUUUUCACCUUUGACCUCGAAUCAGGUAGGAUUACCCGCUGAACUUAA